GACGAACGCUGGCGGCGUGCCUAAUACAUGCAAGUCGAACGCUUCUUUCCUCCCGAGUGCUUGCCCUCAAUUGGAAAGAGGAGUGGCGGACGGGUGAGUAACACGUGGGUAACCUACCCAUCAGAGGGGGAUAACACUUGGAAACAGGUGCUAAUACCGCAUAACAGUUUAUGCCGCAUGGCAUAAGAGUGAAAGGCGCUUUCGGGUGUCGCUGAUGGAUGGACCCGCGGUGCAUUAGCUAGUUGGUGUGGUAACGGCUCACCAAGGCCACGAUGCAUAGCCGACCUGAGAGGGUGAUCGGCCACACUGGGACUGAGACACGGCCCAGACUCCUACGGGAGGCAGCAGUAGGGAAUCUUCGGCAAUGGACGAAAGUCUGACCGAGCAACGCCGCGUGAGUGAAGAAGGUUUUCGGAUCGUAAAACUCUGUUGUUAGAGAAGAACAAGGACGUUAGUAACUGAACGUCCCCUGACGGUAUCUAACCAGAAAGCCACGGCUAACUACGUG
RNAcentral lists this ribosomal RNA (508 nucleotides) under uncultured bacterium. RNAcentral describes it as "partial 16S ribosomal RNA". It matches the Rfam family "Bacterial small subunit ribosomal RNA", at positions 28 to 507 of the family's 1533-position model. The record is from RNAcentral.